RNAcentral lists this ribosomal RNA (1372 nucleotides) under uncultured bacterium. Its description in RNAcentral is "bacterial SSU rRNA". It matches the Rfam family "Bacterial small subunit ribosomal RNA", at positions 28 to 1381 of the family's 1533-position model. The record is from RNAcentral.
GAUGAACGCUGGCGGCGUGCCUAAUACAUGCAAGUCGAGCGAACGGACGAGAAGCUUGCUUCUCUGAUGUUAGCGGCGGACGGGUGAGUAACACGUGGAUAACCUACCUAUAAGACUGGGAUAACUUCGGGAAACCGGAGCUAAUACCGGAUAAUAUUUUGAACCGCAUGGUUCAAAAGUAAAAGACGGUCUUGCUGUCACUUAUAGAUGGAUCCGCGCUGCAUUAGCUAGUUGGUAAGGUAACGGCUUACCAAGGCAACGAUGCAUAGCCGACCUGAGAGGGUGAUCGGCCACACUGGAACUGAGACACGGUCCAGACUCCUACGGGAGGCAGCAGUAGGGAAUCUUCCGCAAUGGGCGAAAGCCUGACGGAGCAACGCCGCGUGAGUGAUGAAGGUCUUCGGAUCGUAAAACUCUGUUAUUAGGGAAGAACAUAUGUGUAAGUAACUGUGCACAUCUUGACGGUACCUAAUCAGAAAGCCACGGCUAACUACGUGCCAGCAGCCGCGGUAAUACGUAGGUGGCAAGCGUUAUCCGGAAUUAUUGGGCGUAAAGCGCGCGUAGGCGGUUUUUUAAGUCUGAUGUGAAAGCCCACGGCUCAACCGUGGAGGGUCAUUGGAAACUGGAAAACUUGAGUGCAGAAGAGGAAAGUGGAAUUCCAUGUGUAGCGGUGAAAUGCGCAGAGAUAUGGAGGAACACCAGUGGCGAAGGCGACUUUCUGGUCUGUAACUGACGCUGAUGUGCGAAAGCGUGGGGAUCAAACAGGAUUAGAUACCCUGGUAGUCCACGCCGUAAACGAUGAGUGCUAAGUGUUAGGGGGUUUCCGCCCCUUAGUGCUGCAGCUAACGCAUUAAGCACUCCGCCUGGGGAGUACGACCGCAAGGUUGAAACUCAAAGGAAUUGACGGGGACCCGCACAAGCGGUGGAGCAUGUGGUUUAAUUCGAAGCAACGCGAAGAACCUUACCAAAUCUUGACAUCCUUUGACAACUCUAGAGAUAGAGCCUCCCCCUUCGGGGGACAAAGUGACAGGUGGUGCAUGGUUGUCGUCAGCUCGUGUCGUGAGAUGUUGGGUUAAGUCCCGCAACGAGCGCAACCCUUAAGCUUAGUUGCCAUCAUUAAGUUGGGCACUCUAAGUUGACUGCCGGUGACAAACCGGAGGAAGGUGGGGCUGACGUCAGAUCAUCAUGCCCCUUAUGAUUUGGGCUACACACGUGCUACAAUGGACAAUACAAAGGGCAGCGAAACCGCGAGGUCAAGCAAAUCCCAUAAAGUUGUUCUCAGUUCGGAUUGUAGUCUGCAACUCGACUACAUGAAGCUGGAAUCGCUAGUAAUCGUAGAUCAGCAUGCUACGGUGAAUACGUUCCCGGGUCU